This 364-nucleotide ribosomal RNA is filed under the name Tylototriton taliangensis (Taliang knobby newt). Its description in RNAcentral is "partial 12S ribosomal RNA". It matches the Rfam family "Bacterial small subunit ribosomal RNA", at positions 845 to 1384 of the family's 1533-position model. The record is from RNAcentral. Lineage: Eukaryota; Metazoa; Chordata; Amphibia; Caudata; Salamandridae.
GCCUAACAUAAACUUUGACCAUCCGCCAGAGUACGAGCAACAGCUUAAAACUCAAAGGACUUGGCGGUGCUCUACACCCACCUAGAGGAGCCUGUUCUAUAAUCGAUAAUCCCCGAUAAACCUCACCAUCUGUUGCCAAUACAGCCUAUAUACCACCGUCCAGCCCGCCCUUUAAAGGAUAAACAGCAGGCACAAAUACAAACAUAAAAACGUCAGGUCAAGGUGUAGCACAUAAGAUGGGAAGAAAUGGGCUACAUUUUCUAACCUAGAAAACACGAAAGAGUUUAUGAAAUAAAACUCCAAAGGAGGAUUUAGCAGUAAAAAGAAAAAAGAGCGUUCUUUUUAAGCCGGCAAUGGAGCGCGC